This 291-nucleotide ribosomal RNA is filed under the name uncultured soil bacterium. Its description in RNAcentral is "partial 16S ribosomal RNA". It matches the Rfam family "Bacterial small subunit ribosomal RNA", at positions 26 to 345 of the family's 1533-position model. The record is from RNAcentral.
AGAACGAACGCUGGCGGCAUGCCUAAUACAUGCAAGUCGAACGAACUCUUCGGAGUUAGUGGCGCACGGGUGCGUAACGCGUGGGAAUCUGCCCCUUGGUUCGGAAUAACAGUUGGAAACGACUGCUAAUACCGGAUGAUGACGAAAGUCCAAAGAUUUAUCGCCAAGGGAUGAGCCCGCGUAGGAUUAGCUAGUUGGUGAGGUAAAGGCUCACCAAGGCAACGAUCCUUAGCUGGUCUGAGAGGAUGAUCAGCCACACUGGGACUGAGACACGGCCCAGACUCCUACGGG